RNAcentral lists this ribosomal RNA (441 nucleotides) under uncultured bacterium. Its description in RNAcentral is "partial 16S ribosomal RNA". It matches the Rfam family "Bacterial small subunit ribosomal RNA", at positions 338 to 795 of the family's 1533-position model. The record is from RNAcentral.
CCUACGGGUGGCUGCAGUGGGGGAUAUUGGACAAUGGGGGGAACCCUGAUCCAGCGACGCCGCGUGAGUGAAGAAGUAUCUCGGUAUGUAAAGCUCUAUCAGCAGGGAAGAAGAAAGACGGUACCCGACCAAGAAGCGCCUGCUAACUACGUGCCAGCAGCCGCGGUAAUACGUAGGGGGCGAGCGUUAUCCGGAAUUACUGGGUGUAAAGGGAGCGUAGACGGCGAGGUAAGCCUGAAGUGGAAGCCCGCGGCCCAACCGCGGAACUGCUUUGGGAACUGUUUUGCUGGAGUAUGGGAGGGGUAAGCGGAAUUCCUGGUGUAGCGGUGAAAUGCGUAGAUAUCAGGAGGAACACCGGUGGCGAAGGCGGCUUACUGGACCAUAACUGACGUUGAGGCUCGAAAGCGUGGGGAGCGAACAGGAUUAGAUACCCGGGUAGUC